This 273-nucleotide ribosomal RNA is filed under the name Triticum aestivum (bread wheat). Its description in RNAcentral is "partial small subunit ribosomal RNA". Lineage: Eukaryota; Viridiplantae; Streptophyta; Magnoliopsida; Poales; Poaceae. The record is from RNAcentral.
AUGGCUGCCCCGGCGAAGGCGUCGUGGCUGGUGGCCAUGAGCGUGGGCGCUGUGGAGGCCCUCAAGGACCAGGCGGGGCUUUGCCGCUGGAACUAUGCGCUCAGCUCCAUCCACCGGGCAGCCAAGGCCAGGGCCAACGUCCGCGGCGGCGUCUCGCAGGGCCCCAAGCAGCUUGCGGCCUCUGCUGCGGCGGUGGCCGAGAGGCGACGGGCAGAGAAGGCCGAGGAGGGGCUGAGGACCAUGAUGUACCUCAGCUGUUGGGGCCCAAAUUAG